RNAcentral lists this transfer RNA (69 nucleotides) under Rattus norvegicus (Norway rat). It matches the Rfam family "tRNA". From Rfam's summary of the family: Transfer RNA (tRNA) molecules are approximately 80 nucleotides in length. Their secondary structure includes four short double-helical elements and three loops (D, anti-codon, and T loops). Further hydrogen bonds mediate the characteristic L-shaped molecular structure. tRNAs have two regions of fundamental functional importance: the anti-codon, which is responsible for specific mRNA codon recognition, and the 3' end, to which the tRNAs corresponding amino acid is attached (by aminoacyl-tRNA synthetases). tRNAs cope with the degeneracy of the genetic code in two manners: having more than one tRNA (with a specific anti-codon) for a particular amino acid; and 'wobble' base-pairing, i.e. permitting non-standard base-pairing at the 3rd anti-codon position. Lineage: Eukaryota; Metazoa; Chordata; Mammalia; Rodentia; Muridae. The record is from Rfam by way of RNAcentral.
GGGGAUUUAGCUCAGCGGUAGAGUGCUUGCCUAGCAAGCGAAAGGCCCUGGGUUCGGUCCCCAGUUCCG